Long non-coding RNA from Balaenoptera musculus (blue whale), 233 nucleotides. RefSeq lists it as uncharacterized. The record is from RefSeq and is a predicted model, not a curated record. The transcript has 3 exons. Lineage: Eukaryota; Metazoa; Chordata; Mammalia; Artiodactyla; Balaenopteridae.
CCUGUGAACUCGGAGGGGAAACAAGGGAGGAAAUAGAGGGCCUGUUAUUUCAUCAAAGCAGAAAAAAGCAACACUUUGGAGGGAAGGGGGUCCUUUUAUCUCCAGUCUACGUAGAAGGUGACAGCUAAUGAAUGUUCAUUAAAUGGAUGAAGAAACAUACACCGGAAGGACCUGUAGAGGUCAUUUUCUUCAUCUCUUGGCUUCCGAGCAGACUUGGUCUUACCUUCCCAAAG